AGCGAACGCUGGCGGCAGGCCUAACACAUGCCAGUCGAACGAACUCUUCGGAGUUAGUGGCGGACGGGUGAGUAACACGUGGGAACGUGCCUUUUGGUUCGGAAUAACUCAGGGAAACUUGUGCUAAUACCGAAUGUGCCCUUCGGGGGAAAGAUUUAUCGCCAUUAGAGCGGCCCGCGUCUGAUUAGCUAGUUGGUGGGGUAACGGCUCACCAAGGCGACGAUCAGUAGCUGGUCUGAGAGGAUGACCAGCCACACUGGGACUGAGACACGGCCCAGACUCCUACGGGAGGCAGCAGUGGGGAAUCUUGCGCAAUGGGCGAAAGCCUGACGCAGCCAUGCCGCGUGAAUGAUGAAGGUCUUAGGAUUGUAAAAUUCUUUCACCGGGGACGAUAAUGACGGUACCCGGAGAAGAAGCCCCGGCUAACUUCGUG
This 433-nucleotide ribosomal RNA is filed under the name uncultured bacterium. RNAcentral describes it as "partial 16S ribosomal RNA". It matches the Rfam family "Bacterial small subunit ribosomal RNA", at positions 29 to 507 of the family's 1533-position model. The record is from RNAcentral.